RNAcentral lists this long non-coding RNA (278 nucleotides) under Helianthus annuus (common sunflower). RNAcentral's name for it is "hypothetical non coding rna". Lineage: Eukaryota; Viridiplantae; Streptophyta; Magnoliopsida; Asterales; Asteraceae. The record is from RNAcentral.
GAGUUGAAACCAUGGCUACAGGUCGGGCCGGGCCAUCAAAAUGGAGAAAUAAUCAUUUAUGCAUUGUAAUUGUAAGUUAGAUAUAUUUAAUUGUUGUAUGUUGAGUUUGUGCAUGAUUGUUGGUGGAACAAACAUUCGGUUGUUGUGAAGAGUAGAAGUAAUAAAGAAAGAAGCAUGUAAAAGAUAUCAUGGAAUAGUUGGAUGUAGAUACGGCUGUUCAAAUGACUGAGGCUAUAUCUGGUUUAUGGGUAUUUGGCAAUCUGCUCAUGUGCCGUUGA